RNAcentral lists this ribosomal RNA (230 nucleotides) under uncultured bacterium. Its description in RNAcentral is "partial 16S ribosomal RNA". It matches the Rfam family "Bacterial small subunit ribosomal RNA", at positions 561 to 790 of the family's 1533-position model. The record is from RNAcentral.
UAAAGCGCGCGUAGGUGGUUUGUUAAGUUGGAUGUGAAAGCCCCGGGCUCAACCUGGGAACUGCAUCCAAAACUGGCAAGCUAGAGUAUGGUAGAGGGUGGUGGAAUUUCCUGUGUAGCGGUGAAAUGCGUAGAUAUAGGAAGGAACACCAGUGGCGAAGGCGACCACCUGGACUGAUACUGACACUGAGGUGCGAAAGCGUGGGGAGCAAACAGGAUUAGAUACCCGAG